CGCGUAGGCGGCUGGAUAAGUCAGAUGUGAAAGUCCAUGGCUCAACUGUGGAAGUGCAUUUGUAACUGUCCGGCUUGAGUAUCGGAGGGGAGUGUGGAAUUCCCGGUGUAGAGGUGAAAUUCGUAGAGAUCGGGAGGAACACCGGUGGCGAAGGCGACACUCUGGACGAAUACUGACGCUGAGGCGCGAAAGCGUGGGGAGCAAACAGGAUUAGAUACCCUGGUAGUCC
This 229-nucleotide ribosomal RNA is filed under the name uncultured bacterium. RNAcentral's name for it is "partial 16S ribosomal RNA". It matches the Rfam family "Bacterial small subunit ribosomal RNA", at positions 568 to 796 of the family's 1533-position model. The record is from RNAcentral.